This 416-nucleotide ribosomal RNA is filed under the name uncultured Alphaproteobacteria bacterium. Its description in RNAcentral is "bacterial SSU rRNA". It matches the Rfam family "Bacterial small subunit ribosomal RNA", at positions 483 to 895 of the family's 1533-position model. The record is from RNAcentral. Lineage: Bacteria; Pseudomonadati; Pseudomonadota; Alphaproteobacteria.
UAAAGAAACCCCGGCUAACUUCGUGCCAGCAGCCGCGGUAAUACGGAGGGGGUUAGCGUUUUUCGGAAUUACUGGGCGUAAAGCGCACGUAGGCGGAUUGGAAAGUUUGGGGUGAAAUCCCAGGGCUCAAACGUGGAUACAGCCUUCUAAACUCCCAGUCUAGAGUUUGAGAGAGGUGAGUGGAAUUCCGAGUGUAGAGGUAAAUUCGUAGAUAUUCGGAGGAACAUCCAGUGGCGAAGACGGCUCCCUGGCUAGAUACUGACGCUGAGGUGCAGAAAGUGUGGGGAGCACACAGGAUUAGAUAUCCCUGGUAGUCCACACCCUAAACGAUGUAAGCCAUACGUGGGGGGGUUUGCCCUUCAGGUGUCACACCUAACGUCCUAAGGAUUCCGCCUGGGGAGUAAUAUCGGGAGCAU